This 61-nucleotide small RNA is filed under the name Lactobacillus acidophilus. Its description in RNAcentral is "crRNA_30". Lineage: Bacteria; Bacillati; Bacillota; Bacilli; Lactobacillales; Lactobacillaceae. The record is from RNAcentral.
UGAUCCUGGCGAGAAGCUUAUGAAGAUCCUAGGAAAAGGAUUUUCUCCACGUAUGUGGAGG